RNAcentral lists this ribosomal RNA (460 nucleotides) under uncultured bacterium. Its description in RNAcentral is "partial 16S ribosomal RNA". It matches the Rfam family "Bacterial small subunit ribosomal RNA", at positions 338 to 795 of the family's 1533-position model. The record is from RNAcentral.
CCUACGGGUGGCAGCAGUGAGGAAUAUUGGUCAAUGGACGCAAGUCUGAACCAGCCAUGCCGCGUGCAGGAAGACGGCUCUAUGAGUUGUAAACUGCUUUUGUACGAGGGUAAACGCAGAUACGCGUAUCUGUCUGAAAGUAUCGUAAGAAUAAGGAUCGGCUAACUCCGUGCCAGCAGCCGCGGUAAUACGGCGGAUUCAAGCGUUAUACGGAUUGGUUGGGUGUAAAGGGUGCGUAGGCGGUCGGAUAAGUUAGAGGUGAAAUCCCGAGGCUCAACUUCGGAAUUGCCUCUGAUACUGUCGGGCUAGAGUUUAGUUGCGGUAGGCGGAAUGUAUGGUGUAGCGGUGAAAUGCAUAGAGAUCAUACAGAACACCGAUUGCGAAGGCAGCUUACCAAACUACGACUGACGUUGAGGCACGAAAGCGUGGGGAGCAAACAGGAUUAGAUACCCGUGUAGUC